GACGAACGCUGGCGGCGUGCUUAACACAUGCAAGUCGAACGGAAAGGCCCUGCUUUUGUGGGGUGCUCGAGUGGCGAACGGGUGAGUAACACGUGAGUAACAUGCCCUUGACUUUGGGAUAAAUUCAGGAAACUGGGGCUAAUACCGGAUAGGAGCUCCUGCUGCAUGGUGGGGGUUGGAAAGUUUCGGCGGUUGGGGAUGGACUCGCGGCUUAUCAGCUUGUUGGUGGGGUAGUGGCUUACCAAGGCUUUGACGGGUAGCCGGCCUGAGAGGGUGACCGGCCACAUUGGGACUGAGAUACGGCCCAGACUCCUACGGGAGGCAGCAGUGGGGAAUAUUGCACAAUGGGCGGAAGCCUGAUGCAGCAACGCCGCGUGCGGGAUGACGGCCUUCGGGUUGUAAACCGCUUUCGCCUGUGACGAAGCGUGAGUGACGGUAAUGGGUAAAGAAGCACCGGCUAACUACGUG
Molecule: ribosomal RNA, 468 nt
Filed under: uncultured bacterium
Lineage: Bacteria
Description: partial 16S ribosomal RNA
Rfam family: Bacterial small subunit ribosomal RNA
Source: RNAcentral